RNAcentral lists this ribosomal RNA (468 nucleotides) under uncultured bacterium. RNAcentral describes it as "partial 16S ribosomal RNA". It matches the Rfam family "Bacterial small subunit ribosomal RNA", at positions 28 to 507 of the family's 1533-position model. The record is from RNAcentral.
GACGAACGCUGGCGGCGUGCUUAACACAUGCAAGUCGAACGGAAAGGCCCUGCUUUUGUGGGGUGCUCGAGUGGCGAACGGGUGAGUAACACGUGAGUAACCUGCCCUUGACUUUGGGAUAACUUCAGGAAACUGGGGCUAAUACCGGAUAGGAGCUCCUGCUGCAUGGUGGGGGUUGGAAAGUUUCGGCGGUUGGGGAUGGACUCGCGGCUUAUCAGCUUGUUGGUGGGGUAGUGCCUUACCAAGGCUUUGACGGGUAGCCGGCCUGAGAGGGUGACCGGCCACAUUGGGACUGAGAUACGGCCCAGACUCCUACGGGGGGCAGCAGUGGGGAAUAUUGCACAAUGGGCGGAAGCCUGAUGCAGCAACGCCGCGUGCGGGAUGACGGCCUUCGGGUUGUAAACCGCUUUCGCCUGUGACGAAGCGUGAGUGACGGUAAUGGGUAAAGAAGCACCGGCUAACUACGUG